This is a small nuclear RNA of Sphaeramia orbicularis (orbiculate cardinalfish), 187 nucleotides long. Its record names the gene U2. It matches the Rfam family "U2 spliceosomal RNA". From Rfam's summary of the family: U2 is a small nuclear RNA (snRNA) component of the spliceosome (involved in pre-mRNA splicing). Complementary binding between U2 snRNA (in an area lying towards the 5' end but 3' to hairpin I) and the branchpoint sequence (BPS) of the intron results the bulging out of an unpaired adenosine, on the BPS, which initiates a nucleophilic attack at the intronic 5' splice site, thus starting the first of two transesterification reactions that mediate splicing. NCBI's taxonomy places the organism in Eukaryota, Metazoa, Chordata, Actinopteri, Kurtiformes, Apogonidae. The record is from Ensembl.
UUCACUUCUCGGCCUUUUGGCUAAGAUCAAGUGUAGUAUCUGUUCUUCUCAGUUUAAUAUCUGAUGUGUCCCCUACCCAGGGACCAUAUAUUAAAUAGAGUUUUGGAACAGGGAGAAUAGAGGCUUGCCCCGUCCACCCCACGUAUCGACCUGGUAUUGCAGUACUUCCAGGAAUGGUGCAACCCUU